ACCCAAGUCCAGUUCCCAGCACCUACCUGCAGUGGCUCAAAACAGCCUGUAACUCCAGCUCCUGGAGCCCCAACACCCUCUUCUGGCCUCUGAGGGCUCCUGCACUCAGCUACUGACUUCAGACAGAAACCUCCACCGCUGUGAGCCAGAGUGAACUUCUCCACUUUUAAAGUCGGUUGUCUCAGGCGUUUUGUUACAGUAACAGAAAGCCACCUUGAUAGUUUUAACUCUUAACUUGCCUCAACUCAGAAUCACCUGGGAAGAGUCUCCACAGAGUACUUUUUAUCAUCAGGCAAGCGGACCGAGACAUUGUUCCGUGUAUACACAACUGAAUACUAUUCAGUCAUUAGGAAGAAAAUGAUUUUGCUGCUGUGGUUCAGAGUGGAAGGCAUUGAGCCAAGGGAGACACUGCACCAUCUCGGCCUGUUAGCACUUCCUGUUACUUCACUGCUCUACUUCCUGUUACGGCACUGCUGCACUUCCUGUCUGCCCAGUGGUGAGCAACUCCAUGGUACUGUCUUCACCAACAAGGACUGAAACUUUUGAAACCAAGAACAAAACGUCACUCCCUGCUGGCCACUCACCGGAGGGAAGCAGGUUCAAAAGGACACACCGGACCUUGGAGCCUCCUGAGGAUGGAGUGUCUUCAAGCUGGAGGGAUACCACUCAACAGAUCCCCUCUGCCAUGUUAUGAUGCUGGAAGACCAGAAGAUAGUGUGUUCAUACAGACUUGCCAGCCUCCAAAACUGCUCAUUCCCGGAUUUCAGACUAGCACUGGGCAGGUGAAACCCCGGAGGAGAAAGAAAACAGCCUCAUCAUUCUGCUAAGACUCCUUCCUGCUCCCCUCCCCAGUCUCAAAACACGCGCCUUUGUGACCAGGCUUCAGAAGCGGCGAGGGGAAGACCCUGCAGUCACGGUCACAUGGCCACAUUGGCACUCUCGGUGGAACAUGUCUGAGCAGAAGUGACAGUUCCCCUUCAGGGAUUAUCUUUGAUUGACACAAAGUCUAAGCUGGACAGAGGGAGUCAGGGGCAUGAGAACUCCGAUUCUCCCAGCAAUGGGGGUUGACAUUACUGUGAGGACACAUCAGCAAAGCCCCCCCCCCCGGGGGGGCAUACUAAAGGAAGCAGCAGGGUGGGUGCUGUGUGCUCAGGUCUUUCUGCCUGAAAUACCUAAGAUGGAGCUUGCUUUCCCUUGUUGACUUUGUUAUCUCCUCCUGCAUCUGGGACAAAGCUCAAGGCUCUGGGGUCUCUAGGAAGUGUCAACAAGUCUCUAAGGGUCCAUAGCCACAGCACACCGCUUCUUUAUUCUUUUCUCGCUCGUGACAGAGUUUCUUGAACUCAGCAGUGUGACCUCCAUUUCCUAGGCUUGCCUGAGCCUAAGGUCAAAGGGAGCCACGGGGCUAGAAAGGUGGCCCAGCUGCUGCAUGGCCCAGAGUCAGGUGCCCUACAUCACAGCCACAGAAAACGAUCACAGCUGCUGUAUUGCCGUGUGCCUAUCAGGACUUACCUCCUUCACGGUCCAGUCCUCCAUUGUUCUGAGGAGAGGAAACUGGCAAACUUUGCCCUUCUCAGAGGCACUGUGGUGACCCGUGAUGAACAAGGAUCUAGGGCCUCUUGGCUUUGCACAUAAGUAGGUGCAGGACAGAGGUGAACAUGCAAGGAAGAAAUAAAAAAUCGGGGUGGGGUUUGGGGGAGGUGGAAUUAAAAACUGGAGGGAUGAACUGUGCUGCAGAUUCCCGGCUUCUCCAGGCAGUGAAGUGGUCCCUGGUGAAAGGGGAUGGUGUAGCGCAGUGUGAGAGGUUCUAGAAGGGUAUGAAGAGGGACUGCCUGGGACACCAGUUCCGGUUUUUGUUACAUGCCAUGAUCUUGGUGAUAACUCAGCUUUGCCCAAAGAAAGUUGAAACACGAAGCAGGCUACUCAAUCUAUCAGUAAAGAAACCAACAUGUUCUUUCAUCUCCAAGUUCUGACGUCAUACGCCAUUAUCUGCGGUGUGAUAGUCAAGGAUAAUAGAAUCAACUGUCAGAUCACAAAUAGUGGAUUCAAGGAUGAAUGAAUAGACCAAGUAGGCAGAUAGGCCUAUGAUAACUGAGAAUUCCAUUUGAUUAAGAGGAAGAAAGUUUAGGAAACAAAAAAAAGCAAAGAGAAAAGACUGCUUUGAAAGGGUAGGGGGCGGCAGAAAAUUUGGUACAGGCUGCUUUUAAAAAUAAAUUGAAAUAAUGUGCAUAAUGAUACAGGAUGAAAGAAAAUCUGGUUCUCACCCUUAUUCUACUUGUAAAUUUAAUUGAUGGAGUAGGCAAACAACAAUCCCCCCUCAAAAAAAAACCAAAAAGCCUUAGUGUAGUGGCUGCUGGUGUAGUGUAUUAGGUAUGGUGUAUGUAUAUGUAUAUGGUAUCUUUGUGAGGGAUAUGUAUGAUGUGUGUGCAUAGUGUUUGGUGUGUAUAGGGAUAUAGUAUGUUUGACUGGUGUGUGUGUGUGUGUGUGUGUGUGUGUGUGUGUGUGUGUGUGUAGACUUAAAAAAAAAAAAUAGUUCUCGUGCCCAGGCAGGAACCGAGGACAAUAAACCAGAAUCCCCCAGAAGUGGGACAUGAUGUUUUUGAGGCACCUCAAGAGAUUCCAAAUGCACCACGGAGGCUGAGAAUUCCCUGAUCCAAACCUCACCUAAGCCAUCUCCUCUCUUAGACUCAUCCCCUUCCCCUACACGGGAACACAGCAGACUGCACUGUUGGUGUCUGCGUUUCAUGCCUUUUUAACCUCCAGUGCUCCAUGGGUGCUCUGAGGAGACUUUUUUCAGAGGAAGGUGGCCACCGCUUUCAAGACCAUGCAUUCCCGCAGCACAUACGGAGAUGACGUGACUUGCUUGAUUGCAUCGCACAGCUCUGAGUCACCUGGCACCUGGCCAGUUGGAAAGUUCCAGAAACCGGCUGUUUCGGCUCCUCACCCAGUAGAGACAUUUUUAUCCUGGGAGCUGGGAUCAAGGAUGCGGCUGAGGCUGACAGAAUUAGCUCAGGGCUUCUCUUCGGGAAGGUGCUGCCACUCGGCACUUACAUAACGGUACAGCUGUGCCAGCCUGCCCACAGAACGUGCUCCCAUUAUUUCUGUUUCCUUCCAUCACUUUAAA
Molecule: long non-coding RNA, 3121 nt
Organism: Peromyscus eremicus (cactus mouse)
Lineage: Eukaryota; Metazoa; Chordata; Mammalia; Rodentia; Cricetidae
Exons: 7
Source: RefSeq, a predicted model, not a curated record